This 253-nucleotide ribosomal RNA is filed under the name uncultured bacterium. Its description in RNAcentral is "partial 16S ribosomal RNA". It matches the Rfam family "Bacterial small subunit ribosomal RNA", at positions 524 to 776 of the family's 1533-position model. The record is from RNAcentral.
UACGUAGGGUGCAAGCGUUGUCCGGAAUUAUUGGGCGUAAAGAGCUCGUAGGCGGUCUGUCACGUCGGAUGUGAAAACUCAGGGCUCAACCCCGAGCCUGCAUUCGAUACGGGCAGACUUGAGUUCGGCAGGGGAGACUGGAAUUCCUGGUGUAGCGGUGAAAUGCGCAGAUAUCAGGAGGAACACCGGUGGCGAAGGCGGGUCUCUGGGCCGAUACUGACGCUGAGGAGCGAAAGCGUGGGGAGCGAACAGG